AGGGCAUACGGUGGAUGCCUUGGCACUAAGAGCCGAUGAAGGACGCGGUAAGCUGCGAAAAGCCACGGGGAACUGCAAGCAAGUCUUGAUCCGUGGAUGUCCGAAUGGGGAAACCCACCAUCCGUCAUGGGAUGGUAUCCUACGGGAGGGGAACCCGGUGAACUGAAACAUCUAAGUAGCCGGAGGAAGAGAAAUCAAACGAGAUGCCCACAGUAGCGGCGAGCGAAGAGGGCAGAGCCUAAACCAGUCAUCUUCGGAUGGUUGGGGUUACGGACCUGCAUCAACCGAGUCCUACCUAGUCGAAUUACCUGGAAAGGUAAGCCAGAGAGCGUAAGAGCCGCGUAGGUGAAAGGAAGGACGAGGGGGCAGGGAUCCAGAGUACCACGAAGCACGAGGAAUUUUGUGGGAAGUCGGGGGGACCACCCUCCAAGGCUAAACACUUCUUAGUGACCGAUAGCGCAUAGUACCGUGAGGGAAAGGUGAAAAGAACCGCGGGAGCGGAGUGAAAGAGAACCUGAAACCGUAUGUCUACAAGCAGUCGGAGCGCAAGCGACGGCGUGCCUAUUGAAGAAUGAGCCAACGAGUUACGGGCACCAGCGAGGUUAAGCAGGAAAUGCGGAGCCGGAGCGAAAGCGAGUCUAAACAGGGCGAAUAGUUGGUGUUCGUAGACCCGAAACUGUAGUGAUCUACCCAUGAUCAGGUUGAAGCGCAGGUAAAAAUGCGUGGAGGACCGAACCGGUGAGCGUUGAAAAGCUUUCGGAUGAAUCGUGGGUAGCGGUGAAAUUCCAAUCGAACGCAGAGAUAGCUGGUUCUCCUCGAAAUAGCUUUAGGGCUAGCCUCAAGCAGUAAGCAUAGGCGGUAGAGCACUGAUCGGGAUAGGGUCCGUAAAGGAUACCGAACCCUGUCAAACUACGAAUGGUUAUGCUGCAGAGCUUGGGAGUCAGACUACGAGAGAUAAGUCCCGUUGUCAAAAGGGAAACAGCCCAGACCGUCAGCUAAGGUCCCCAAUGCCAUACUAAGUGGAAAAGGAUGUGGGGUCUCAUAAACAACCAGGAUGUUGGCUCAGAAGCAGCCACCAUUUAAAGAGUGCGUAAUAGCUCACUGGUCGAGAGGCCCUGCGCCGAAGAUUCCCGGGGCUAAAGUAUGGAACCGAAGCUACGGAUGCGGUACUUGUACCGCGUGGUAGAGGAGCGUUCCCAUUGGGUUGAAGUCGUCCUGGAAGGGACGGUGGACUGGUGGGAAGUGAGAAUGUUGGCAUGAGUAGCGAAAAGAUAGGUGAGAAUCCUAUCCACCGAAAGCAUAAGGAUUCCUGAGCAACGAUCGUCGUCUCAGGGUAAGUCGGGACCUAAUCCGAGGCAUGGAGCGUAGGAGAUGGACAACUGGUUGAUAUUCCAGUACCGGCAGCAAUCGUUUGAACGAUGGAGUGACGCAGGAAGGCAGGUCCGCGCGAGAAUGGUAGAUCGCGUACAAGCGUGCAGGCUGGUGCACAGGCAAAUCCGUGUACUGAGGCUGAGGCGUGAUGUGGAGGGAACUUGUUCCCGAAGGGAUUGAGCCUACGCUGCCGAGAAAAGCUUCUAGUGAGAAAGCUGCCGCCCGUACCGUAAACCGACACAGGUAUGCGGGGAGAGAAUCCUAAGGUGCGCGGGAGAACCCUCGUUAAGGAACUCGGCAAAAUGUACCCGUAACUUCGGGAUAAGGGUAGCCACAGUGGUGAAGGGACUUGCUCCUGGAGCCUAGUGUGGUCGCAGAGAAGAGGCCCAAGCGACUGUUAACCAGAAACACAGGUGCCUGCGAAAGAGAAAUCUGAUGUAUAGGUGCUGACACCUGCCCAGUGCUGGAAGGUUAAAGAAGGAUGUCCGGGUUCGACCCAAAGCAUUUGACUGAAGCCCCAGUGAACGGCGGCCGUAACUAUAACGGUCCUAAGGUAGCGAAAUUCCUUGUCGGGUAAGUUCCGACCCGCACGAAAGGUGUAACGAUUUGGGCACUGUCUCAACGAGGGACCCGGUGAAAUUGAAAUACCUGUGAAGAUGCAGGUUACCCGCGACUGGACAGAAAGACCCCAUGGAGCUUUACUGUAACCUAAUAUUGGGUUCUGAUAUUCGACGCACAGGAUAGGUGGGAGGCUUGGAGCAUGGUCCUCUGGGAUCAUGGGAGCCGCCGUUGGGAUACCACCCUUCGAAUAUCGGGAUUCUAACCGCAGGAGCAACGAUCCUCGGGACAGUGUUAGGCGGGCAGUUUGACUGGGGCGGUCGCCUCCUAAAGAG
This 2264-nucleotide ribosomal RNA is filed under the name human gut metagenome. Its description in RNAcentral is "bacterial LSU rRNA". It matches the Rfam family "Bacterial large subunit ribosomal RNA", at positions 14 to 2297 of the family's 2925-position model. The record is from RNAcentral.